GGCGUAACUGGAUGCGACGGUUCCCCGAGGAAGGCUUCGAGGGGAUUAAUAGGGAACACGGUGAGGACGACCCAAAAGGGACCUAGACCGUGGCUGCCCCCGCAACUGUAAGCGGAUUGCCGAUCAUCCCGGGUGCGACCAGCCUGCUGGCCGCCUCAGGUGGCUUCAGGGCCAUGCCACUGCGAAGACAAAUCGCGGGAAGGCAGAUGAUCGUCAGACAUUCGCGAGCCAGGAGACCUGCCGUCGAUCACGAUCCAAU
This 259-nucleotide non-coding RNA is filed under the name Rhizobium sp. The record is from RNAcentral. Lineage: Bacteria; Pseudomonadati; Pseudomonadota; Alphaproteobacteria; Hyphomicrobiales; Rhizobiaceae.